RNAcentral lists this ribosomal RNA (380 nucleotides) under uncultured bacterium. RNAcentral's name for it is "partial 16S ribosomal RNA". It matches the Rfam family "Bacterial small subunit ribosomal RNA", at positions 355 to 729 of the family's 1533-position model. The record is from RNAcentral.
UGGGGAAUAUUGGACAAUGUGCGCAAGCCUGAUCCAGCCAUACCGCGUGGGUGAAGAAGGCCUUCGGGUUGUAAAGCCCUUUUGUUGGGAAAGAAAUCCAGCUGGUUAAUACCCGGUUGGGAUGACGGUACCCAAAGAAUAAGCACCGGCUAACUUCGUGCCAGCAGCCGCGGUAAUACGAAGGGUGCAAGCGUUACUCGGAAUUACUGGGCGUAAAGCGUGCGUAGGUGGUCGUUUAAGUCUGUUGUGAAAGCCCUGGGCUCAACCUGGGAACUGCAGUGGAAACUGGACGACUAGAGUGUGGUAGAGGGUAGCGGAAUUCCUGGUGUAGCAGUGAAAUGCGUAGAGAUCAGGAGGAACAUCCAUGGCGAGCANCUNCA